UAAAUCACAAUAAAUAGUUGCUUCAUUCAGAUUGGGCUAUUUUUCACAAAUCCUUUUUUACAAAUAAUGCUACAAUAAUACAUAAACAAAAAUAACUCUAAAAAAACUCCAAAAUUUUCAAAUACACCUAAUUAAAAUUUUUAAAAAAAACCCUACCCCCUCUUUCUAUUUUUACCCAUCACCUACUACUGCUGCCACCCCCUAUCACCGCCAUUCGUCACAACCACUACCACCUACUCUCCCUCCUCUCUCUUCCUUUUUCCCUUUCCUCUCCGUCCUCUCUCCUCCUCUUUCUCUCCCUCCUUCUUUCUCCUCUCUCUUCCCUUUUCCUGUUUUUUUUUCUUUGUCGACAUGAUAAAUUCUAUACUAUAUCUACUCCUACUCUAUAUUAGAGAAGAGAAGUGAGUCCAAAUGGAUUAAUGGAGAACUCGAAUGGGGCUGAACCACCACUGAACUAAACGGGUGCCUCUGCACUCGCUGGAAAGGUUUUCAGGAAAUUUUGAAGAAGUAUGCAAGUCAAAGGAUCAAAUCCCUUGACUUGCACCCAAGGAAAACCUUAAAACUCUCCCAACUCUCCCAAGGUAGUUGGUUUCCCUUUUCCUCUUUUCCCCUUUUUUCGUCCUCCUUCUUCCUUCCUUUCUGUCCCCUCAGCCUUCCUUCUCUUCCCCCUUUUCUGGAUCUGAUCACGAGUAGCGACCGGAAACUAGUUGUCAUCCACGUGAUGGCUAGAAAACUAAUUUUUGGUCUCAAGCUAUAACCAGAAAAGGAAGGAAGGAUAGGGAAGUUGCGAGAGUUGCAAGGGAGGAAAGGGGAGAAGGAAGGAGGAGGAGGGAGAGGAAGAAAAGGAAGAUAGGGGAAGAGGAAAAGAGAGCAAGAGAAGAGAAGAGAAGGGUGGGAGGUGAGGGG
Molecule: long non-coding RNA, 906 nt
Filed under: Coffea arabica (coffee)
Lineage: Eukaryota; Viridiplantae; Streptophyta; Magnoliopsida; Gentianales; Rubiaceae
Description: long non-coding RNA (CARA_LNC003510)
Source: RNAcentral